UAUAUCCUGCUUCCUUCUAAUUCAUACUAAGACAAGAAAAUAUGUAAUUUUUUUGGAAACUGAUUUAACUGUUGGCCUGCCAGGAUUAAAAAUCACAAUUAUAACAAUUUUGAAUAGAAUUAAGCUUCAGCCUUAGUAACCCAAAUAACGUGAAUAAAGUUUUGAAGCCCAUCUUCUGUAUUUUCCUCUAUGUUCCCUGUUGUUCCAAGCUACAUACACAUUCCAAGUUUUUUUUUAAAUCAAGUAUUUAAUUCAGGAGAGCAAAAGCAUCCAAUUUUAGAUAAUAAAAAUUGCUUCACAGAGUUUCUUUCUAUUCAUCUUUAUGCAUACAUCAUGCUUCAAAAAUAGUGAAUGAAUUUUAGAAUAUAUAAUGAAUUUUAUAAACCUUUCCCAAAUGCUUAUAAUUCAUGUGGGGUAUAAUUUACCCAAUUAUAAAAAAUAGUUUAUUAUACCUCAAUAUAAAAACAGUUAUGUAUGUAAUUAGGCUUAAUACUUCCCUGACUACAAACUUUUAAGCUUAACAUAUGCUCAAGGAGGGAAGUAAAUCAAUCAGAUUUUCAGAAAUCUUAAAAGUACUUUCUACAAGUUUUCCCAAACUACAGUUACUGGUCAUGUAGAAAGAGAUGUCUGUCUUCUUUGAUAAGCCUAAGGGCAACAGAUGUAAAUGCCAGUUACAGUCUGUGUGUUUAUCAUACUUUGCUUAGGAAACUUUCAGCUCUAGAAACAGUUAAGAGCAAACAAUAA
Molecule: long non-coding RNA, 744 nt
Organism: Gavialis gangeticus (Gharial)
Lineage: Eukaryota; Metazoa; Chordata; Crocodylia; Gavialidae
Exons: 2
Source: RefSeq, a predicted model, not a curated record